GGAAGGAUCAUUAUUGAAUAAACUUGAACAGGCUGUUGCUGGUUCUUUCUUCUAAGGGAGGGGCAUGUGCACGCUUGUCAUCUUUAUCUCUCCCCAACUGUGCACAUACUUGUAGGCCUGGAGUAAAUCUUGUUUUUUGAUCUGAUGUAUGUUCAGAUUGAGUUUUUUGAGGAUUGCUGUGCCUUUUCUUUUCGACAAGUCCAGCUCUGCCUUGUAUUUCCAGGUCUAUGUUAUUUUUACAAUCACUAAGAAUGUAUUAGAAUGUUGUUGUAAUUGUGGGCAAUAUACAACUUUCAGCAACGGAUCUCUUGGCUCUCGCAUCGAUGAAGAACGCAGCGAAAUGCGAUAAGUAAUGUGAAUUGCAGAAUUCAGUGAAUCAUCGAAUCUUUGAACGCAUCUUGCGCUCCUUGGUAUUCCUAGGAGCAUGCCUGUUUGAGUGUCAUUCAAGUUCCUCAACCACAUUGAUUUGUUUCAUUGGUGUGGCAUUGGAUUUGGGGGUUUUUGCAGGCUUUUGAAAAAUGAAGUCACUGCUCCCCUGAAAAGUAUUAGUGGUAUCUGAGUAGACUGCUACUAUGGGCAUGAUAAAUUAUCUAUGCUCUUGGGUACACUGCAUUAAAACAGAUUAUGCCGCUUCUAACCAAAUGAAUUGUUUGACAAAUUUGACCUCAAAUCAGGUAGGACUACCCGCUGAACUUAAGCAUAUCAAUAAGCGGAGGAAAAGAAACUAACAAGGAUUCCCUUAGUAACUGCGAGUGAAGUGGGAAGAGCUCAAAUUUGAAAUCUGGCAGUUUUUGACUGUCCGAGUUGUAAUCUAGAGAAGUGUUACCUGUGCUGGACCGUGUACAAGUCUCCUGGAAUGGAGCAUCAUAGAGGGUGAGAAUCCCGUCUUUGACAUGGACUACCAGUAUAUUGGGGUGUGCUCUCAAAGAGUCGAGUUGUUUGGGAAUGCAGCUCAAAAUGGGUGGUAAAUGCCAUCUAAAGCUAAAUAUUGGCGAGAGACCGAUAGCGAACAAGUACCGUGAGGGAAAGAUGAAAAGAACUUUGGAAAGAGAGUUAAACAGUACGUGAAAUUGCUGAAAGGGAAACGCUUGAAGUCAGUCACAUUAGCUAGAAAUCAGCCUUGCUUUUGCUUGGUGUACUUUCUGGUUGAUGGGUCAGCAUCAAUUUUGACCAUUGGAUAAAGUCAUUGGGAAUGUGGCAUCUUUUUGGAUGUGUUUAUAGCCCAUUGUCGUAUACAUUGGUUGGGAUUGAGGCACUCAGCAUGCUGCAAGGGCCGGGUUUCGACCACGUUCAUGCUUAGGAUGCUGGCAUAAUGGCUUUAAUCGACCCGUCUUGAAACACGGACCAAGGAGUCUAACAUGCCUGCGAGUGUUUGGGUGGAAAACCCAUGCGCGCAAUGAAAGUGAAAGUUGAGAUCCCUGUAAAGGGGAGCAUUGACGCCCAGACCAGAGCUUUUGUGAAGGAUCUGCGGUAGAGCAUGUAUGUUGGGACCCGAAAGAUGGUGAACUAUGCCUGAAUAGGGUGAAGCCAGAGGAAACUCUGGUGGAGGCUCGUAGCGAUUCUGACGUGCAAAUCGAUCGUCAAAUUUGGGUAUAGGGGCGAAAGACUAAUCGAACCAUCUAGUAGCUGGUUCCUGC
RNAcentral lists this unclassified non-coding RNA (1637 nucleotides) under uncultured fungus. RNAcentral describes it as "sequence contains 18S rRNA gene, ITS1, 5.8S rRNA gene, ITS2, 28S rRNA gene". The stretch from base 661 to 1637 matches the Rfam family "Eukaryotic large subunit ribosomal RNA", at positions 1 to 961 of the family's 3401-position model. Lineage: Eukaryota; Fungi. The record is from RNAcentral.